RNAcentral lists this ribosomal RNA (253 nucleotides) under uncultured bacterium. RNAcentral's name for it is "partial 16S ribosomal RNA". It matches the Rfam family "Bacterial small subunit ribosomal RNA", at positions 524 to 776 of the family's 1533-position model. The record is from RNAcentral.
UACGGAGGGUGCAAGCGUUAAUCGGAAUUACUGGGCGUAAAGCGUGCGCAGGCGGCUUUGCAAGACAGAUGUGAAAUCCCCGGGCUUAACCUGGGAACUGCAUUUGUGACUGCAUGGCUGGAGUGCGGCAGAGGGGGAUGGAAUUCCGCGUGUAGCAGUGAAAUGCGUAGAUAUGCGGAGGAACACCGAUGGCGAAGGCAAUCCCCUGGGCCUGCACUGACGCUCAUGCACGAAAGCGUGGGGAGCAAACAGG